UCGAUUAGAUACCCGUGUAGUCCUAGCCGUAAACGAUACUCGCUAGGUGUCGGCCACGGUGCGACCGUUGUCGGUGCCGUAGGGAAGCCGUGAAGCGAGCCACCUGGGAAGUACGGCCGCAAGGCUGAAACUUAAAGGAAUUGGCGGGGGAGCACCACAACGGGUGGAGCUUGCGGUUUAAUUGGAUUCAACGCCGGAAAUCUUACCGGGACCGACAGCAAUAUGAAGGCCAGGCUGAAGACUUUGCCGGAUUAGCUGAGAGGUGGUGCAUGGCA
Molecule: ribosomal RNA, 275 nt
Filed under: uncultured archaeon
Lineage: Archaea
Also listed under: 1 other name
Description: partial 16S ribosomal RNA
Rfam family: Archaeal small subunit ribosomal RNA
Source: RNAcentral